Molecule: ribosomal RNA, 234 nt
Filed under: uncultured bacterium
Lineage: Bacteria
Description: partial 16S ribosomal RNA
Rfam family: Bacterial small subunit ribosomal RNA
Source: RNAcentral
ACCUACGGGGCGCAGCAGUGGGGGAUAUUGGACAAUGGGGGAAACCCUGAUCCAGCGAUGCCGCGUGAGGGAAGAAGGUUUUCGGAUUGUCCCCCUCUUUGUCCCUUGACGCUACUGCCUGUACCUGUCAAGAAAGCCACGGCUACCUACGUGCCAGCCGCCGCGUUCCUCCGUCUGUGUCGAGCGUUGUCCGGACUUCCUUGUUGUAAAGGUAUUGUAGGCGGGACUGCAAUU